GACGAACGCUGGCGGCGUGCUUAACACAUGCAAGUCGAGCGAGGCCCACCUUUCGGGGUGGUGUCCUAGCGGCGAACGGGUGAGUAACACGUGGGCAACCUGCCCUCAGCUCUGGGAUAACUCCAAGAAAUUGGGGCUAAUACCGGAUAUGACUGCUGACCGCAUGGUCUGGUGGUGGAAAGAUUUAUCGGCUGGGGAUGGGCCCGCGGCCUAUCAGCUUGUUGGUGGGGUAGUGGCCUACCAAGGCGACGACGGGUAGCCGGCCUGAGAGGGUGACCGGCCACACUGGGACUGAGACACGGCCCAGACUCCUACGGGAGGCAGCAGUGGGGAAUAUUGCGCAAUGGGCGGAAGCCUGACGCAGCGACGCCGCGUGGGGAUGACGGCCUGGUGU
This 394-nucleotide ribosomal RNA is filed under the name uncultured bacterium. RNAcentral's name for it is "bacterial SSU rRNA". It matches the Rfam family "Bacterial small subunit ribosomal RNA", at positions 28 to 422 of the family's 1533-position model. The record is from RNAcentral.